ACUGUGAUUCCCUUAGUAACUGCGAGUGAAGCGGGAAAAGCCCAUCGUUUAAUCUCCUCGUCCGCAGUGGCGGGGCGAAAUGUAACGGUAUGGAUAGGUUCUCUACCAACAAAGUCUGAUCAAAGUCCUCCGGAUUGAGGUGCCAAAGAGGGUGACAGCCCCGUGUGUGAUUGGACUGAGUUGGGCAUGUGGCCGAUUCCGAGAGUCGGGUUGUUUGGGACUGCAACCUAAAGCAGGUGGUAAACUCCACCCAAGGCUAAAUAUUGACACGAAACCGAUAGCGAACAAGUACUGUGAAGGAAAGUUGAAAAGAACUCUGAAAAGAGAGUUAAAAGUACGUGAAACCGCUAACGGGGAAGCGGAAGGCAGUGUCGAGAUCGAGUGAGUGAGUCUGCUCAAGAGCAAUUUUGAGUGGGCUAGCUUUGCUUGAUGCGUCAGGGCCGUUGGUGUGCGAUGGUUCAAUGGUCGGCAUGGCUUUCACAGCAAAUUUUUGUUUGUGGAUGCGGCUGGCUAUCCGCCUCGUGUGCUGACGUGCGAGUGAGGAGCGUUGGUGAUGUAUUGUCGGUUGGUGCGGUGUGGUGGUUCGCACUGGUCACAGCGUGGCUACGUGCGGACAAGUCAUGUGGUAGUUCAACAACCAAUGCUAGUUCCUGGCGUGAUACCCAACUUUC
Molecule: ribosomal RNA, 671 nt
Filed under: Kudoa yasunagai
Lineage: Eukaryota; Metazoa; Cnidaria; Myxozoa; Multivalvulida; Kudoidae
Description: eukaryotic LSU rRNA
Rfam family: Eukaryotic large subunit ribosomal RNA
Source: RNAcentral